RNAcentral lists this ribosomal RNA (2082 nucleotides) under Candidatus Susulua stagnicola. RNAcentral describes it as "partial 23S ribosomal RNA". It matches the Rfam family "Bacterial large subunit ribosomal RNA", at positions 1 to 2062 of the family's 2925-position model. The record is from RNAcentral. Lineage: Bacteria; Pseudomonadati; Candidatus Omnitrophota.
UAUCAAGAUAUCAAGAGCUUACGAUGAAUGGCUUGGUUGAUGCAGACGAUGAAGGACGUGGCAAGCUGCGAUAAGCUGCGGUGAGGAGCAAGUAGCCUUUGACCCGCAGAUUUCCGAAUAAGUGAACUUCUCUAAAGUAAUGUUUAGAGGCUCCGAUUUAUCGGAGAGGCAACCCGGGGAAGUGAAACAUCUCAGUACCCGGAGGAAUAGAAACCGAAAGGUAUUCCCCUAGUAGCGGCGAGCGAACAGGGAACAGCCUAAACCUAGAAAGUGUUAAAGCCUGCUGGCGUUGCUUUUUCAGGUGUCAUGGGAUAUUGAUGGAAAAUACAGCAGUGUUUUCGGGAAGUUACAAAUCUCAACUAUAACUGAAUCCGCUGGGAAGCGGAACCAAAGAAGGUGAAAGUCCUGUAUGUGAAAUGGAAGAGACUUCCUGGUCUUUACUCCCAAGUACCACGAGACACGGGAAACCUUGUGGGAAUUUGGGCCGACCACGGCCUAAGGCUAAAUACUCGCAUCAGUCCGAUAGUGAACUAGUACCGUGAGGGAAAGCUGAAAAAAACCCCGGUGAGGGGAGUGAAAUAGAAUCUGAAAUCGUAAGUUUACAAAACGGUCGAACCAUGAUUUAUCAUGGAACGGCGUACCUUUUGUAUAAUGGUCCAGGGAGUUAUUGUUUGUCGCAAGUUUAAUCCGUCUUUGACGGAGGAGGCGUAGAGAAAUCGAGUCCUAAUAGGGCGACCAUAAGCGGCAGGUAAUAGACUCGAAGCCAGUCGAUCUACCCAUGGCCAAGGUGAAGUUUUGAGAAAUCAAAAUGGAGGCCUGAACCGGUGUCUGUUGAAAAAGGCUCGGAUGAGCUGUGGGUCGGAGUGAAAGGCUAAUCAAGACUGGUGAUAGCUAGUUCUCCCCGAAAUGGCUUUAGGGUCAGCCUUUAGCGUUCAGCUUAGGAAGGUAGAGUACAGGAUGGGCUAGGGUGGAUUAUAUCCAUACCAACCCCAACCUAACUCCGAAUUUCCUAAGUGUAAGGCUAAGGAGUGAGACUGCGAGGGCUAAGCUUCGUAGUCGAGAGGGAAACAGCCCAGACCGCCAGUUAAGGUCCCUAAAAGCAGGCUAAGUGGUAAAGGAUGUGAAGUCACAGAGACAGCCGGAAUGUUGGCUUAGAGGCAGCCAUCAUUUAAAGAGUUCGUAACAGAUCACCGGUCGAGUGAUUUUGCGCCGAAGAUGAUCGGGGCUAAAGCCUGCUACCGAAACUGCGGCUUCUCAACAUUUUUGUUGGGAGGGGUAGGGGAGCGUUCUAUGUGCAGCGAAGUUUUGGUGUAAACCAAGGUGGAGCGCAUAGAAGUGAGUAUCCUGGAAUGAGUAGCGAAAAUUCCGAUGAAAAAUUGGAACGCCGAAAGUCUAAGGUUUCUCCGUCAAUGUCUGUCAAACGGAGGUUAGACGGCCCCUAAGUCAAACCUCGAGAUUUCGAGGGUAGACGAUGGAAAAAGGUGUUAAUAUUCACCUUCCACCUAUUUGCGCUAAUUUAAGAAGGGACGCAUGAGAUGCGGUAGUCGAACUGUUGGAUGUGUUCGUCCUUGAUGGCAACAUCGAGGGGAGUCCAAGCUACGGCGCGGACGAACCUACCAGAAUCGAGUGCCGAGAAAAGCUUUUUAAAUUGUUUAUAGGUGACCGUACCGUAAACCGACACAGGUAGACUGCCUGAGAAUGGUAAGGCGCACGAGAUAAACCUCGCUAAGGAACUCGGCAAUCUAACCCCGUAAGUUUGCAAGAAGGGGUCCCCGAUGAAUAAUCGGGGCGCAGUGAAAGGGCUCCUGAGACUGUUUAGCAAAAACACAGGUCUCUGCUAACUCGUAAGAGGAUGUAUAGGGACUGAGACCUGCCCGGUGCCGGAAGGUUAAGGCAAGAGGUUAUUCUGGUUUACCAGAAGAAGCUUCGACCCGAAGCCCCGGUGAACGGCGGCCGUAACUAUAACGGUCCUAAGGUAGCGAAAUUCCUUGUCGGGUAAGUUCCGACCCGCACGAAUGGUUUAACAAUGGGAGCACUGUCUCAGCGAGGAUCUCGGUGAAAUUGUAGUGACGGUGAAGAUGC